RNAcentral lists this ribosomal RNA (279 nucleotides) under uncultured bacterium. RNAcentral describes it as "partial 16S ribosomal RNA". It matches the Rfam family "Bacterial small subunit ribosomal RNA", at positions 506 to 784 of the family's 1533-position model. The record is from RNAcentral.
UGCCAGCAGCCGCGGUAAUACGGAGGGUCCAAGCGUUAUCCGGAUUUAUUGGGUUUAAAGGGUGCGCAGGCGGAAUAAUAAGUCAGAGGUGAAAUCCCACAGCUCAACUGCAGAACUGCCAUUGAAACUGUUUUUCUUGAGUAUAGAUGAAGUGGGCGGAAUGUAUCAUGUAGCGGUGAAAUGCAUAGAUAUGAUACAGAACACCGAUUGCGAAGGCAGCUCACUAAACUAUUACUGACGCUGAGGGACGAAAGCGUGGGGAGCGAACAGGAUUAGAUA